Long non-coding RNA from Canis lupus familiaris (dog), 3421 nucleotides. RefSeq lists it as uncharacterized. The transcript has 2 exons. The record is from RefSeq and is a predicted model, not a curated record. Lineage: Eukaryota; Metazoa; Chordata; Mammalia; Carnivora; Canidae.
UGGGAAAAUCCACACCGCCCGCCGGCCCCACAUCGGGUGGACCACAGCAGGAGCUGUCCUGGCCGGAGCCCGAAACCAGGGGACGGGGCCCAUCUGCCAGGAGGGAGGGAGCUAGGGACGUGAGGACCGUCCAGAGGCGGGAGACGAGCACCCGAAGAUCAGAUGGAAAAUGAGAGGGAGGGGAGGGGAGUCCGACAUGAGAGUUUGUAAAACUGAGGACAGAAGGAAGUGGACGUCUUCGAGGAAAUUCUCCGCUGCUCUGAUGGAUUCCAAGAGACCAAGGGGGUCCUGUCUUGAUCCUCCGUGUCUCUCACUCACGCCUUCUCCUAGGCAGAGGGCAGGGAAGCAGCCCUGAAAGGCCCUGCCUCUUUGGCAGGUGUCCUGAGACAGCCAGCUGCCGCCGGCGGCCCUUGAUUCACAAGCUGCUCCUGGCCAAGGCGGGCGUGUUGGCUCGGAGGAAACCGCCUGUGAUCCCAGAGCUCUCUGAAGCCUGCUAGGAACUGCCGCUCGCCCCCAGAGCUUGAUCUCGGCCUCUGAUGCGGAAGGUGCCAGUGAGAAGCCGGGGAGCUCGGUGUUCAACGGCCUCUGCUAAGAAAUAGGCACAGGGCAGUUACAGAACUGGCUGGAGAAUAAGGAACUUAAUUGGCUGUUUAAGGCUGAAAACGGUUUUUUUUUUUUUUUUAAAUUAGGAGCUUAGAUUGCUACCCAAACUCAGUGAUGAGGAUAAUUGGAGUGAGGGCCUGGGUGGCCUUUUGAGGACUCCGUUCAAUUGUCACGGCUAGCAAAAAUGUCAGCAGAAGAGCACAGUGCAAGGAAGGCGGGGCGGCGGGGGACAGUCCUUUGGUGCCUCCUCUACUGACGACCACAGAGAGCAAAAGCUGCCUGCGCCAGCAGGCGGGUGCGGGAGCCUUGGUGAUGAGUCAGGAACCGGGAUCGCUGUUCUCAUCGUCCUAACCGUCAAGGGGGAGACUCCGGGGCACUCGGCCUCCUGUGUGCACAGUGGCUUCAGGCAACCUGGGCUCCCCCAUUUGGCCCCGAGGCUGCUCCUGCCCGCCAGUGCCCACCAGUGCCCAUCAGCGCUCGCCAGUGCCCGCCAGUGCUUGUGUCCAGCAGAAGCACAGGCCUCCUGGCGUCUGCUGAAUGGGGCCGGCUGCACAGAAUCGCCCUUCCUACUGUUUACUGUGUCUCUUCGCCCGGAGUGUUUGGCGGGAGCUGCAAAAUCCAUGCUUAGCAGAGAUUCUUAGGACUCGGCGGUCAGCUGGGUUCUGGUCUAAGAAGGCUCGGUGAACUCCAGUACCCGGGUCGGCGGAGCCUGCAGCGUCAGCAGCCCCAGCCGAGUCCUGCCACGCUAGCUCCAGUCUGGGAGGUCGCGCACUCCUACACAAAUAGCACUGCAGGGAGAGGCUGACCUGAAAAGCCAGGGAGACGGGGAGCCGACCUCGGGCACGCCACUGUUGCUGCAAACCAAUCUCAUUAGUGGCCGCUGAGGAAACAACCAUCGGGUAUCCAAUACGAUCCCCCAAGGGCCCCCCCAGCCUCCCUGGAGCUGGAUGUCCCGGCGGGUUCCUGCCAAGUCCGGUGCCAGAUGCUGGGACAAGUUACCGUGGAUCCCCACAUGAACUUCCGAGUGGCCUCCCAAGGUCCAACCCUACUCUACUCGCUCCCCUCCAUUCUCCACGCUGCGUUCAGCGAGCUUUUGAGGAAGCACAUAAGACGGCUGCUUUGCACUCGAAAUCCGACUUUCUAACGAUGGCCUAGGGAGGCCUCUCUGAUCUGGCCCUUGACUCUUCUACAGCCUGACUGGAGCCCCUUGCCUUCCAGCACCCCAUGCUCUCGCUCGGGCAUCAGCGAAGGCUGGCCUGCUGGCUGUUCUUACAAAUCACGGGCUCCUGCAACGCAGCCACGGCCGUUCUUUUACGCAGAGUCUCCGUCUGCUCUUGUGCUACUGUGGCUGACGAGAGGCUCUAGGGCACACGGAGCCCCAAAUACUGACCGUCUGGCCCCCACGGGUCUAAUCUUGAUUCCUUGAGCAGACCGACAGGUAACGAGCCGUGAGCUGAGAGGUAUACCGGCCGCUUUUACCCAGGGUUCAGUCUCUUUUGGAAUAUGCAAAAGGUAGUGACUGUGAGAAGGUGCUAGAACUGCACAGGAAGUUAACCAAGAAAUCAGGAACCUUCCUGCAAGGCCUCCCCGAGCUCUUGCUUUUUGUGGCCUGUGGAAGCCAGUGACUGAGAUUUCCCAUUGGCAGUGGCAGACGUGGUGUCAAUCUAGGAUACGAAAUACCUGAAUGGUCAGGUCGGCUGCUCUCUGGGGCCGCCACCGCCCUGUGCAGCUGGCCAAUCCCGGCUGACCCUGCAAUCCUGUCUCCUGAGCCGUGCUGGGCCGUCGCACAGUUACGCUUCCUGAAAUGAAGGCCUGGUGGAGGUUUUACUGUUCCCCAAGAUAAGGCGAGGGAGGAUCCAUUCUAACACCUAGAGGGCCUCCUGGGCACCAGGUCAAGGCACCUGGCUGUUCCAGAAGACAGGAGUAACUGCAGGGUUUGAGGCCGUGGAGGAUUCAAAGUUACUUGCUGGAUUCUUUAAAGAGGAAAGAAUCACCAAGUUCCCCCAAGGCCACUUUCAAAUCCAUGUAUCCCUGUCAAAAGCUCUCCAGACACCGAACACAGGUCAGAGAGCUCAGGCAAGCAUUUUUAAACCCUAAUGGGGCUGUGUUAAAACCAGCCAGGGAAGAAGUCAAAGCCUUCUGGAGCUGAGAGAAGAGCCAAGCUGGCCUCCUCGGGGAGAGAAGAGCCUGCAGAGCAUCUGUGUCUUCUCAGCUAGGACAGCUUGGUCUUCCUUGACCUUGACACUUGGGAAGAGACCGAGCAGUUAUUCUGGAGACUGUCCCUCCGUGUGGGCUUUUCUGAUGUAGCUUCACGAUCAAAGAGAAGACGUGAAGGCAUGUUCCCGGGAAGAUUGUCGCCGAGGUGCUGCGUCCUGUUCAGUGUGUCCCACCAGAGGAUGGCUGCGGCGCGCCCACGGCUGGUGUUCACCACGGUCAUCUGGUCAACCGAAGGUGCCACCUGGCGACAAUCUUCACCGUCCAGUCUCAGCUUUUCCUUUUGGAGUUCAUACCAUCUUGGAGGAGAGCCUUUGAGACGAUGCGACGAUCCUGUCCUUGCUUAGACUUCAGACGUCCCCCCAGCACUGGUAUUCAUCAGAGAUCUUGUCCACAGCGAUGACGACAGUCCUGUUCUCAUGGUGCUUCUCAGGUUCCCUCAUACCUUCUCCAUUCACCACCUGGAAUUUGUCUGUAAGGACGAUCCGCCCCUGCCUCCCAUUUAUUUAUUUAUUUGGUUAUUUAUUUAUGUCAGAGAGACUCAUGAAUAUUUAUUUUACUCCCCAAGCUAUGAUCCAAUACUAUUAUUAUUUGAUUUGUGACA